GAAGGUCAGAGUCCAAUGAGCAGAUGUGCAAAACCAGCUCCACUUGAUCAAAAAGGUACUUAGAGAUUGACAUGAAAACAUGUAAAAUGUGUUGGAUAAAAGUUUCUCUCGAGGAUUUUCAGAGGCAAGAAAUAAGAGCAGUAAGUAGAAAUUUGGAUUCAAAUUAACUCUGAUAUAUAGACUUAGUAUGAUUCAUUCCUACUGAAUUAGUCUACUCUGACAUGCAAAUACAGCUUAGUAAAUUAGAAAGUUAUGAAAAAGUUGAUUUAUUAUAGGAAUUCACAAUGGAUAAGGUCUUGCUGCUCAUUUAUGGAUGGAUGGAAAGCAUACAAGAGCAAUAAAAGGAAACAGAUACACACCGGUGCUCCAUGAUCUUGUUUUUUUGGACUUCCUUCCAGAACUGAGUGAGUUCCUGUGAUCCAGCAUUUUCCAUUUCUGCAGCCAUGAUCAAAAAUCUGUCUUGUGGAGAGGCCAGGGAACCUGCACAAAACCCAUCAAUAAAACCAUUUAAGUCAACUGUUAUGGUUGAUUUCGUAAAAAGUGGUGAGAGUGGGUCUGGAAUUCCAUGAUUUUUGCUGGUAAUACAACUUUUAAUAAACCAAAGAUAUCAACGAAUUGUUCUGUGAUAUUAAAUGUGAGAAUUAUCUAGAAA
Long non-coding RNA from Xiphophorus couchianus (Monterrey platyfish), 652 nucleotides. RefSeq lists it as uncharacterized. NCBI's taxonomy places the organism in Eukaryota, Metazoa, Chordata, Actinopteri, Cyprinodontiformes, Poeciliidae. The transcript has 2 exons. The record is from RefSeq and is a predicted model, not a curated record.